AACAGGCAGCCCGACGAGAGAACAAACUACCAAUUAAAGAGCGACAAUUCAGGGCCAGAGAAUAGGAACAGAAUAGAAGCCGGUGCCGAAAGGUCAUGUUUAAGGGCUGAUUCCAAGCUGGUGAAUGGAGCUGCUGAAGGCAGCUUUGAGAAGAGAAACCACAAUUUGCUCUCAUGAGCCUGCAGGAACCAGCUCCAGAUCACCUCAGAGAUACUGAGAGAUAUAAAGAUGAAUAAGAUACUUCCCUCUCCUCAAGGAGUUUACAGUUGAUUGAAGAGUGGUGUGGAUGACUUAGAGCAAGACAUUUACCCUCAUUGUCUUCAUAAAUAAAAUGCAGUUUAGACCUCAAGAGAACGUCCAUGUUUUUGUUUGCUGUCUUGGAAACCUGUCUUGUUACCUUGAGUACAAGGUCAAGUUAACAUACUGGAUGAUGAGAGACAGUCCAGGAGUCCUCAUGAUCCCAGAUGACAACCAUUCCCACUCAAUCAGUCCUCAGUCACCUUAAGGAUGACCACAGACAUGAGUGAGGCCAAAUGACCCAGGCUCUUCCUGGCCCAGAUCUGCAGAACCACCCAUCACACUGGCACAGCUACAAGCAUCACUCUUUUAAAGGCAACAAGCUGGCCUGGAGACAAGUGGCACCCAGGAAAAGUGUGACGCGCCCUGCACAUUUAUAUAUAGACACUCUAUGGAACUGACAAUUAUCUGCAGUAAUAGAGGAGAGUUGGCAGCAUGCAAGAUCCAAAA
Molecule: long non-coding RNA, 747 nt
Organism: Talpa occidentalis (Iberian mole)
Lineage: Eukaryota; Metazoa; Chordata; Mammalia; Eulipotyphla; Talpidae
Exons: 5
Source: RefSeq, a predicted model, not a curated record